GACGAACGCUGGCGGCGUGCUUAACACAUGCAAGUCGAACGGAAAGGCCUCUUUCGGGGGGUACUCGCGUGGCGAACGGGUGAGUAACACGUGAGUAACCUGCCCUUGACUUUGGGAUAACUUCAGGAAACUGGGGCUAAUACCGGAUAGGAGCUCCUGCUGCCUGGUGGGGGUUGGAAAGUUUCGGCGGUUGGGGAUGGACUCGCGGCUUAUCAGCUUGUUGGUGGGGUAGUGGCUUACCAAGGCUUUGACGGGUAGCCGGCCUGAGAGGGUGACCGGCCACAUUGGGACUGAGAUACGGCCCAGACUCCUACGGGAGGCAGCAGUGGGGAAGAUUGCACAAUGGGUGGAAGCCUGAUGCAGCAACGCCGUGUGCGGGAUGACGGCCUUCGGGUUGUAAACCGCUUUCGCUCAUGACGAAGCUUUGUGUGACGGUAGUGGGUAAAGAAGCACCGGCUAACUACGUG
This 467-nucleotide ribosomal RNA is filed under the name uncultured bacterium. RNAcentral describes it as "partial 16S ribosomal RNA". It matches the Rfam family "Bacterial small subunit ribosomal RNA", at positions 28 to 507 of the family's 1533-position model. The record is from RNAcentral.